RNAcentral lists this long non-coding RNA (363 nucleotides) under Chloebia gouldiae (Gouldian finch). RNAcentral's name for it is "Erythrura gouldiae (Gouldian finch) lncRNA (ENSEGOG00005009901.1)". The record is from RNAcentral. Lineage: Eukaryota; Metazoa; Chordata; Aves; Passeriformes; Passeridae.
CGAUGGUCACUCAUGGUCACUCAGUGGUCACUCAGAGGUCACUCGGGCAGGUCGGUGGUCACUCAGGAAGGUUGGUGGUCACUCAGUGGUCACUCGUGGUCACUCGGGCAGGUCGGUGGUCACUCAGGAAGGUUGGUGGUCACUCAGAGGUCACUCGGGCAGGUCGAUGGUCACUCUGGUCACUCAGUGGUCACUCAGGUCACUCGGGCAGGUCGAUGACCAGCUCGUCGUCCCCAUCCAGGGGGUCGUCGCUGCCCUCGCCCUCCCCCUCCCCCCCCCCGGGGCCGCUCAGGAGCCGCCGGGGCAGCGUGGGGGGCACGGGGGGAGGGGCUGGGGGCGGGGCCGGCGCCGGCGGGGGGGGGG